AGGCUUUAUAUAACAGUCUAUUAAAUUGAUACUCGUGUUAUAUUAUCGGACAAUAGUAAUUUCGAAACCUAGAUAACGCGUCGUGACUGUGUCUAUAGUAAUGCGGUAAAUAUAUAUAAAAUCACUAGUUUCUCUGUUUAAUAAUAUGUUGGAACAAUAGAAUCGAUAUCGACGACUUCCGAUGCCGUUUAGUACGAAUUUGUCCAGAUUAACAGAAGCUUAAAUUGAAGUCAUUCAGUUCUGCAGUUUUUAGA
Molecule: non-coding RNA, 254 nt
Organism: Cinara cedri
Lineage: Eukaryota; Metazoa; Arthropoda; Insecta; Hemiptera; Aphididae
Source: the annotation of a GenBank genome assembly